Long non-coding RNA from Prosopis cineraria, 1599 nucleotides. RefSeq lists it as uncharacterized. The record is from RefSeq and is a predicted model, not a curated record. The transcript is spliced from 3 exons. NCBI's taxonomy places the organism in Eukaryota, Viridiplantae, Streptophyta, Magnoliopsida, Fabales, Fabaceae.
CUUUGUAGUGACCCCAGUGUUGCCUCGCCUUGUAAAUGCAAGUGUGGCAUCUUGUGCUCUAAGUUUUCUCAUAUCAAUUUUUGGGCUCCAAGUUUCUCUUUGCAAUUUCCACCGUUUUUCCCAUAACCUACGCCACUGUGAAGUUUUCCUCUUGCGUUUUCCAUUUAUGCUGAAUAUCAUCCUCAACCCUCAUUUACUUCCCCUACUCAUUGGAACACUAAAUUUGCUGCCAUCACUAAAGACCAAAGAUGACCAAACCCUAUUGGCUAUCGCGAAGACGUAAACCCCAAACAGUCUCUUUCCCUCAAACUCGCAGUGCAGAUAGCGGUUUGUAGACAGAAGUACCUCUAAUCCUCCCUUUGCAUUAAGCCAUUGACUUACUUCUUCCUUUAUUUGUCUUCAACUUCAAAACUCGACACGAAAGCACCUCCAUCGUUAGAGCCAGAAAGGAGAUGAUUCCUUUACAGUUACUUAUUUUGUGAACUUUUAGGGCUUGUCCAUCAAAGAUGCUACUAAGGUAUCAAAAAAGGUUAAAUUCAAUAAACCAUUGUGUGCAUUCUUUUUUGUCCGCACACGCUACAAGAUAAUGGCCAAUGAUCUUCAAAUCAAAGGAGAUCAAAGCAUUACCCCUGUUUAGAUGCUAGAGAUGGGAUGAUGAUGAUAGGGUAAAUGAUUUAAUUAUAAGCAGUUGAUUGUGUUCCGUUCAGCUGAAUAAAUUGGGCAAAACAUCAGCAGAUGUCACCUUACUUUUCACAUGGGUUGUAAGUGAUGUUUUUUGUUUGCUGUUAUGGUUAUUAGAAUUUUUGUUAAAGGUAAACCAUGUAAUGAUGAAAGAAAGUGAAGCAAGUAGAUAUUUUCAAUAGCUUAUAAAUGCUAUUAAUUAUUGCCACAGCAGGGAUGUCUACUAUCGAGACCUAAAGGUAAGACUUAUUCUCCUGUCUUAUCAGCAAAAUUUCACUUUGAUAUCAAAAGAAACAAACUCUUAUAUGGUUUUCAUUUUUUAUUUAAUAAAAAUUUUACAGCUAGAAAAGUUGCUAUUAGAUGCUUCUGAAAUUUCUAAAGUUUCUGAUUUUAGGUUAAGUGCUCUGUCCCAACAAGUCAAGGUAGUUGUGUUUCAUUGCCUUCUAAGAUUUACUUUUCUUUGUUAUUUAUCUUUAUUCAAUAUAUUGAUAAUCCUAUUGUCAAGUUUGCUGCUAAUCAUCCUUUGAGAAAAAGAAAAUGAAAGAAAGCAAAACAAUUGUUUUUUUAAUUUAUUUUAACAUAUCUGUAAAUUGGCUAAAUGCUUGCUUUUAACACACCUUACAUGUGCUUAUUUAUAUGCAUGAAUCUUGUAUUGGCUUUUCAGGAUGGGUAAUAUAGGAUUUGAAAAAAGAGAGGGGAUAUACUAGCUCGCAUCACAAGCCUUGUGAUUGUUAAACUAGCGCCUACAGUUGAGAAUAGAAUAAGUAAAUGGUGGUAUUAAAUUGAUUAAUAUUUUUAAUAGUAUACUUUUAAAGGUCCCAUUUUGUUGCUUUGUUCUUUGAUUUUUUUUUUAAUUGAAAGGCAUUAACUAUCAAUGACUCCAUAUGAUGUUGCAAUUAGUAUUUUUGGAGAAGAUAG